RNAcentral lists this ribosomal RNA (486 nucleotides) under uncultured Enterobacteriaceae bacterium. Its description in RNAcentral is "bacterial SSU rRNA". It matches the Rfam family "Bacterial small subunit ribosomal RNA", at positions 30 to 505 of the family's 1533-position model. The record is from RNAcentral. Lineage: Bacteria; Pseudomonadati; Pseudomonadota; Gammaproteobacteria; Enterobacterales; Enterobacteriaceae.
AUUGAACGCUGGCGGCAGGCCUAACACAUGCAAGUCGAACGGUAGCACAGAGAGCUUGCUCUCGGGUGACGAGUGGCGGACGGGUGAGUAAUGUCUGGGAAACUGCCUGAUGGAGGGGGAUAACUACUGGAAACGGUAGCUAAUACCGCAUAACGUCGCAAGACCAAAGAGGGGGACCUUCGGGCCUCUUGCCAUCAGAUGUGCCCAGAUGGGAUUAGUUAGUAGGUGGGGUAACGGCUCACCUAGGCGACGAUCCCUAGCUGGUCUGAGAGGAUGACCAGCCACACUGGAACUGAGACACGGUCCAGACUCCUACGGGAGGCAGCAGUGGGGAAUAUUGCACAAUGGGCGCAAGCCUGAUGCAGCCAUGCCGCGUGUAUGAAGAAGGCCUUCGGGUUGUAAAGUACUUUCAGCGGGGAGGAAGGUGUUGUGGUUAAUAACCGCAGCAAUUGACGUUACCCGCAGAAGAAGCACCGGCUAACUCCG